Molecule: transfer RNA, 72 nt
Filed under: Gammaproteobacteria bacterium
Lineage: Bacteria; Pseudomonadati; Pseudomonadota; Gammaproteobacteria
Description: tRNA-Gly
Rfam family: tRNA
About the family: Transfer RNA (tRNA) molecules are approximately 80 nucleotides in length.
Source: RNAcentral
GCGCGAGUAACUCAGGGGAAGAGGGUCAGCUUCCCAAGCUGAAGGUCGCGGGUUCAACCCCCGUCUCGCGCU